AUGCUUAGACUCCAAGUUACCCCAAGUUUCUCCUACAAUUUCUCCAUGACGUGGAAGCGCUUCUUCAAGGAUUUUAAGGUUUUAGACUCCUAUAAAUACCCAUUCACUUCAUCAUUUCAGGGCAUCCAAGCUUAUGCAUGCUUAAGCCAUAUACUGUCAAUUUGUAAAGCAAUAAUCUCUUCACAUUGGAGGAUUAUUGUGUCGUGGAUUGAGUCUGUAUCAAGUUUGGAGCACUCCUGUACAUGUUUUAUUUCAAGACUUUUACUUCUUCUGUUUACAUUCCGUCAAGAUUUACUUCCAGUCAUUGUAGUUGUAUCAUAUUCA
Molecule: non-coding RNA, 324 nt
Organism: Vicia faba (fava bean)
Lineage: Eukaryota; Viridiplantae; Streptophyta; Magnoliopsida; Fabales; Fabaceae
Source: the annotation of a GenBank genome assembly